RNAcentral lists this ribosomal RNA (497 nucleotides) under uncultured bacterium. RNAcentral's name for it is "partial 16S ribosomal RNA". It matches the Rfam family "Bacterial small subunit ribosomal RNA", at positions 28 to 507 of the family's 1533-position model. The record is from RNAcentral.
GAUGAACGCUGGCGGCGUGCCUAAUACAUGCAAGUCGAGCGAACGGACGAGAAGCUUGCUUCUCUGAUGUUAGCGGCGGACGGGUGAGUAACACGUGGAUAACCUACCUAUAAGACUGGGAUAACUUCGGGAAACCGGAGCUAAUACCGGAUAAUAUUUUGAACCUCAUGGUUCAAAAGUGAAAGACGUUCUUUCUGUCACUUAUAGAUGUAUCCUCGCUGCAUUAGCUAGUUGGUAAGGUAACGGCUUACCAAGGCAACGAUGCAUAGCCGACCUGAGAGGGUGAUCGGCCAAACUGGAACUGAGACACGGUACAGACUCCGAAGGGAGGAAGCAGUAGGGAAUCUUCCGCAAUGGGCGAAAGCCUGACGGAGCAACGCCGCGUGAGUGAUGAAGGUCUUCGGAUCGUAAAACUCUGUUAUUAGGGAAGAACAUAUGUGUAAGUAACUGUGCACAUCUUGACGGUACCUAAUCAGAAAGCCACGGCUAACUACGUG